CGGCGGACGGGUGAGUAACGCGUGGGUAACCUGCCUCAUACAGGGGGAUAACAGUUGGAAAUGGCUGCUAAUACCGCAUAAGCGCACAGUACCGCAUGGUACGGUGUGAAAAACCCAGGUGGUGUGAGAUGGAUCCGCGUCUGAUUAGCCAGUUGGCGGGGUAACGGCCCACCAAAGCGACGAUCAGUAGCCGACCUGAGAGGGUGACCGGCCACAUUGGGACUGAGACACGGCCCAA
Molecule: ribosomal RNA, 238 nt
Filed under: uncultured bacterium
Lineage: Bacteria
Description: partial 16S ribosomal RNA
Rfam family: Bacterial small subunit ribosomal RNA
Source: RNAcentral